AUGGCCCCCAAACAUUCCUGGAAAUUCCCAAUAUUCCCAGGAAUCUCACCAAACAUUCCCAGCAAACACUCUGGGAAUUCCCACCAAACAUUCCCAACGUUCUCACCAGACACUGCAACCAAACAUUCCCAACAUUCCCACCAAACAUUCCCACCACUCCUGGCAUUCCCAGAAUUCCCACCUGAGCUCCUCCAUCUCUUCGUGGUCCCAACAUUCCCAACAAAUAUUCCGGGAAUUCCCACCUCACAUUCUCACCAAACACUCCCAACAUUCCCAACAAACACUCCUGGAAUUCUCACCAAGCAUUCCCAGCAAACAUUCCCAAACGUUGCCCCCACACAUUCCUGGAAUUCCCAACAGUCCCAGAAUUCCUAUCCAAACAUUCAUGGAAUUCCCACCAAGCAUUCCCAAUGUUCUCACCAGACAUUCCCACCAAACACCCCCAGAAUUCUCACCAAACAUUCCCAACAAAUAUUCUGGGAAUUCCCACCAAACAUUCCCACCAAACACUCCCAGAUUCCCAGCAAACACUCCUGGAAUUCCCACCCAACAUUCCCACCCAACAGUCAGGGAAUUCCCACCCAACAUUCCCUCCCAGCAUUCCCACCGGAGCUCCUCCAUCUCCCUUUUCCUGCGGAGCUCCUCGCGCUGCUCCCGGCGCUGCUCCUGCAGCUCCGCCCGGCGCCGCCCCCGCUCCUCCCGGUCCCGGCAUUCCCGCUCGGCCGCCAGGUCCGGGAACCGCUCCACGCGCGUCCGCUCCAGCCGCCGCAGCUGCUCCGCCCCGCGACGCUCCACCGUCACCGAGCGCACCGUGGGGUUAGACCGGGCUUAGACCGGGCUUAAACUGGGGUUAAACUGGGACUGAACUGGGGCUGAACCGGGAUGAACUGGGGCUGAACUGGGAUUGAACUGGGGUUACACCGGGAGUUAAACUGGGAACUGGGAGCGCGCUGCUCCGCCCCGCGCCGCUCCACCGGCACCGAGCGCACCUGGGGUUAGACCGGGUUUAGACCAGGCUCAGACCGGGCUUAAACCUGGGCUUAAACUGGGACUGAACUGGGGCUGAACUGGGAUUGAACUGGGGUUACACCGGGAGUUAAACUGGGAACUGGGAGCACGCUGCUCCGCCGCUCCACCGGCACCGAGCGCGCCUGGGGUUAAACCGGGUUUAGACCGGGAUUAAACCGGGUUUAGCACAGGCAUUAAACCGGGGUUAAACCGGGAGUGAACUGGGAUAGAACAAGGAGUUAAACUGGGAACUGGGAGUGUGCUGCUCCGCCGCCCGCUGCUCCACCGGCACCGAGAGCACCUGGGGUUAAACCAGGGCUUAAACUGGACCUAAACCAGGGUUAAACUGGGCUUAAACCGAGCUUAAACUGGGGAUUAAACCGAGUUUAGACUGGGAUUGAACCGGGGUUAAAGUGGGAAUUAGACUGAGGAUUAAACCAGGAAUUGAAGUGGGCGCUGCUCCGCCGCUCCACCGGCACCAAACGCAGCGGGGACAAGGGGUUAAACCAGGACUAAACCAGGAUUAAACCAGGAUUAAACCGGGAUUAACGGGAGUUAAACUGGGAAUUACACUGGGAAUUACAUCAAUUAUACUGGGAAAACCAGGAAUUGAACUGGGAAUUAAACCAGGAAUUGGGAGGGCACUGCUCCGCCGUCACCCGGGGGCACCUGGGAUUAAACUGGGGUUAAACUGGGAUUAACGGGAGUUGAACUGGGAACUGGGAGUGCGCUGCUCCAGUGGUGGGGAUUAAACCGGGGUUAAACCGGGAUUAACCCGGGAAUUGGGACUGCACCGCUCCGCUAUCACGGAGAGCACCUGGGAAACAGGGAUUAA
Molecule: long non-coding RNA, 1843 nt
Organism: Serinus canaria (Common canary)
Lineage: Eukaryota; Metazoa; Chordata; Aves; Passeriformes; Fringillidae
Source: Ensembl